AUUGAGCGCUGGCGGCAUGCUUUACACAUGCAAGUCGAACGGUAACAGGGUGCUUGCACCGCUGACGAGUGGCGAACGGGUGAGUAAUGCGUCGGAACGUGCCGAGUAGUGGGGGAUAACGCAGCGAAAGUUGUGCUAAUACCGCAUACGUACUGAGGUAGAAAGUGGGGGACCUUCGGGCCUCACGCUAUUCGAGCGGCCGACGUCUGAUUAGCUAGUAGGUGAGGUAAAGGCUCACCUAGGCGACGAUCAGUAGCGGGUCUGAGAGGAUGAUCCGCCACACUGGGACUGAGAAACGGCCCAGACUCCUGCGGGAGGCAGCAGUGGGGAAUUUUGGACAAUGGGCGAAAGCCUGAUCCAGCCAUGCCGCGUGUCUGAAGAAGGCCUUCGGGUUGUAAAGGACUUUUGUCAGGGAGGAAAUCCCUAGUGCUAAUAACACUGGGGGAUGACAGUACCUGAAGAAUAAGCACCGGCUAACUACGUGCCAGCAGCCGCAGUAA
This 500-nucleotide ribosomal RNA is filed under the name uncultured bacterium. RNAcentral describes it as "partial 16S ribosomal RNA". It matches the Rfam family "Bacterial small subunit ribosomal RNA", at positions 30 to 523 of the family's 1533-position model. The record is from RNAcentral.